UAGGGCGUAGUGCUUUCUUCCUGA
This 24-nucleotide transfer RNA is filed under the name Phascogale calura (red-tailed phascogale). RNAcentral describes it as "partial tRNA-Pro". The record is from RNAcentral. Lineage: Eukaryota; Metazoa; Chordata; Mammalia; Dasyuromorphia; Dasyuridae.